CAAAAUAGUGUUUGUUCUUCUUAUCUAUAAUGCUUUUCCAAUAACAUUAUUAUUAACAACACCAUUUCAUGGAAGCUCAACUUCAUCACUCAACUAUGCUCAUAGAUUCUCUCUCAUCAAACUGGUUCACCUCUCUCUCUCAUUACUCUCCUUAGUUUUUGCUCUUACUUUUGCUUCUCUAAUAUGGAAUUUCUUUAUUUUUAUUAUAAAAUGUUUUUAAUCAUGGUUAUAAACCGUCAAAAAUACACUCUAACAACUAAAAUUUAUAUAAUUUUGGUAAAGUGAAUAUAAGAUAAGGCUUCUCUUGGAAAAAUAAAACCGAAUUUGAGAAAUUUUAGACUGAACAGAAACAUAUUUUAUCCAAAUAUUAUAUGAAACAGAGUACACUUAAAUUAUAAAUACGUUUUAUCUUUUUAUUAAACUAAAAUUUAAUUUUCUGUGAAAUUGUUAUAUCAAAUUGAAAAAACACAUUAAUCUUAUCAUUUAGGCUCUGAUUUCAGUUUCUAAUUAACUACUUAAGAAACUUACCAUUUUGUUUUAAUAAUAUUUAUCCCUUAACUAACCUCACGUUAUUUAUUUUACCUCUUACACUUUCUUUUAAACUUUUUUAUAAAACUUGACCUUUAAACACGAAUUUUGAAAUAGAAACUAUACAAAAUUAAAGAAUAAACUAAUAUAAAGUAAUAUAUAAACAUAUUGUAAUUUUUCCUUUAUCAUUAAUUAAACAACUAAGUUCAUUGAACAUUCUAAGGACUUUCACUUUUUAGAUAAAGAUUAACUUCAAAAGAUCCAAUUACACCAUUAUCAAAAACAACUAUAAAAGACAAACAAAAAAAUGAUAUAGUUGUGAAAUAUAAUUGAUGAUGAAAUAAUGAAGCACUCUAUAUCCCUAACAACCUCAAAUAUACCCCACUUCAGGAAUCAAUGUUCGAAUAUUCUCUUAUUAAUUAUUUUAUGAAUUAGGUUUCAAAUAUGAACAAUGAACAAUGAACACAGACAUGAAGAAUGAGAACAUGUCCUUUAGAAAAGUGAAGAGUCACUUUCUCACUACAGAAAGC
Molecule: long non-coding RNA, 1058 nt
Filed under: Vigna radiata
Lineage: Eukaryota; Viridiplantae; Streptophyta; Magnoliopsida; Fabales; Fabaceae
Description: long non-coding RNA (VRAD_LNC010186)
Source: RNAcentral